UCAGGCGGGGACCCAGCCGCCGACCUGAUGGGCAGGGACCGCGCCCCGCCCCGGCCCCACUCCAGCCCCACCCUACCACCAGCCUGAAUUCUUCCGGCUUCAAUGCACGCCACGCUUCAACGCCCGCUACCGCGUGGCGUGCUACCGCGUGGUGUCCUCCCGCUGCUGCAUCGCUUUCCGGGCCGCGGACAGUUCCUCCUGCUGUCACUCCCUGACCAAGUCCUCCGGCACUGGCUCUCCCGACCAUGCGCAGGAAGGCUGGGCUCGCGGGACUCGCGGUUCGGCGUCCCUCCUUCGCCAGGGAGGGAGGCUGCCCUGGCCGGAGCAUCCCGGUCCUGGGAGGCCUGGACUUGCUGGAAGAGCGCGCACGCUUGUCCCGGACUUGUGCACAGACCUGGCCGGCUCCAGUGCCAACCUCAUCCCAAGGGUGACUGCCAUCCGGACCAGCCCAGACCUGCAGUGCCUGGUACGGCCCACUGAGGUGUUCUUGGCGGCCCCAUCACACAAGAUUCCCCCACCCAUACGGAGUUCUUCUGGCCUGGAUGGGGGUUAUCCCGUGAAGACCAUGGCAGGAAGCGGAGCUCAGGACAUUGGCAGCAAGGGCAAGGUGGAACAGGUCCUAUAAGAGACUGGCAUGCCACCCCACAAAGGAACCAUAUAGGAGGAGCACCUGGGGAGCAU
Long non-coding RNA from Balaenoptera musculus (blue whale), 681 nucleotides. RefSeq lists it as uncharacterized. The transcript is spliced from 3 exons. The record is from RefSeq and is a predicted model, not a curated record. Lineage: Eukaryota; Metazoa; Chordata; Mammalia; Artiodactyla; Balaenopteridae.